UACGUAGGGGGCAAGCGUUGUCCGGAAUCAUUGGGCGUAAAGCGCGUGUAGGCGGCCCGGUAAGUCCGCUGUGAAAGUCGGGGGCUCAACCCUCGAAUGCCGGUGGAUACUGUCGGGCUAGAGUGCGGGAGAGGCGAGUGGAAUUCCUGGUGUAGUGGUGAAAUGCGUAGAGAUCGGCAGGAACACCCAGGGGGAAACCAGUCGACUGGGCAGCACCUGACGCUGAGGUGCGAGAGCGUGGGGAGCGAACCGG
This 253-nucleotide ribosomal RNA is filed under the name uncultured bacterium. Its description in RNAcentral is "partial 16S ribosomal RNA". It matches the Rfam family "Bacterial small subunit ribosomal RNA", at positions 524 to 776 of the family's 1533-position model. The record is from RNAcentral.